CUAACGGUGUUUUUCAACACCUCUAAAAUUGUCAUAAAACCAUUA
Pelodiscus sinensis (Chinese soft-shelled turtle) is the source of this 45-nucleotide non-coding RNA. NCBI's taxonomy places the organism in Eukaryota, Metazoa, Chordata, Testudines, Trionychidae. The record is from Rfam.